Molecule: non-coding RNA, 261 nt
Organism: Cinara cedri
Lineage: Eukaryota; Metazoa; Arthropoda; Insecta; Hemiptera; Aphididae
Source: the annotation of a GenBank genome assembly
CUUCAAAAAAAAUAAAAAAUAAUACAACGACAACAAAUGUUGAAAUCCGCCGUAGAGUACCCAUACCUACACUGCAAAAAAUAUAUAAGAAUAUAAUAAUAUAAGUAAUCUUUUCUUCGUCCUGUUAUAACAUUGAAACACAUGUUCCGACGACCUCAUCUGUUCCUUCCUCGUGCACACGCACAGCAACACACUCAGCGGCUAUCGUCUUUUAGUACCGCACCAAUGUCAACAGAUUAUUGUUAUUUUGUAUAAGAUUUU